CUGGCAGGGGAAAGAUUCCUUGGAGAAACAGUUUACUAGUCUGUUGGGGGAUGGCAGCUACCAAAGAAGCUGGAGGUGGGUGAUCUGUGCUCCUGUGGACAUUUUUGGAUCAUCCUACAAGGAGCCCUCAGAAGCAGGAAGGGGAUAAGAGGUUUUCAAUACCCUUAGGUGGACUAAGGGACAAUAUUGGGAGCUCCAGCCAUUCUCUGGACCAUCUAGGACUCCUCAUCAUCCAGCCUCUCCUUGCCAAAAGACUCUAUAUGGGAAGAAAGCGAGACUCAGAAAGGCACAGCAACUUGCCCAUGGUACCCAAUGAGGGUCAGAGACAAGAGGAAGAAAAAGAAACAAGAAUUUAUUCAUCACCUGCUCUGUGCCAGUUUAUUGGAGCUCAUGAUUUUGUUCAGAUCUCUGAAAUCAAUGUAGGCUGCUAUUAAGAACAAAAGAAUGUCCAGCUUUCAAAAAACAAUUUCUUCAAUGGAUGGAACAUUGUUGG
RNAcentral lists this long non-coding RNA (493 nucleotides) under Monodelphis domestica (gray short-tailed opossum). RNAcentral's name for it is "lncRNA (ENSMODG00000037351.1)". Lineage: Eukaryota; Metazoa; Chordata; Mammalia; Didelphimorphia; Didelphidae. The record is from RNAcentral.